Brassica napus (rape) is the source of this 2093-nucleotide RNA transcript. RefSeq lists it as uncharacterized. The transcript is spliced from 4 exons. The record is from RefSeq and is a predicted model, not a curated record. Lineage: Eukaryota; Viridiplantae; Streptophyta; Magnoliopsida; Brassicales; Brassicaceae.
GAAAAAAUCAUGGAUAGUAAUAGUUUUUCUCUCCUCCUUUGCUUUCUCCUUCGACCAACAUGCUCUAUUAACGGCAAUUUGAUUUUUUCCCCGGCGUCCGGUCGCGAGUGCCGGCACCAAAGGCUCUCCGGCUCUUGUUUCAUUGUUCUCGUUUUUCUGCCACUGCGUCCAUCUCGUUCCCCUCCGAUAUCCUCAAGGUUUGGGCUAGGGUUUGGUCACCAAGAGCCUUCCGCUGCAGAGGAGAUGCGACUACGGCGGUUUAUCUGCUUUCUAUGGUGCUUUAAUGAGCAGGUAGAACAGUGGAUGGUGGUUUCAGUCAGCUUUUUGGGUUCAGGAUGUAGAUCUUUUUCCCGUCAGAUCUCGUCCAGUUUCUCUCGGUUCGUGAAGAGGAGGGACGGUUUGAUUCUGUUCUAGGGAGUCAGUCGGCUCGGGUUGGUUUCUAUCGGUUCUUUUCGGGGUGUCGACAAGCGCCAGUCCCUCCUUUCCUUAGUCACAGUGUGAGCCGGUGGAUCUCAUUACCACGGUGGCGAGUCUUGUAGCUCGAGUUCGCAGGUGGCUUGGUCUUCGAUCUCUAUUCCAGCUCGUGUAGGUCUUGUGUGUGGUUAAGAUGGCGGUCGUCUAUGCCUCCUCAGUGGCCGCUUGCAACUCUUCGCUUCAAAUCUUCUUUCUGUGAUUCCUGGCUUUUUUGGUUCUCUAAAGGCGACAGCCUUCGGUUAGGAUUGUGCCCUGGUUCUUCAUACUGUCUUUACACGAGACGGGUUCUAGAAGCUCGGGUUUUUGUUUGUCGGUUUUCGACGACUUCAGGCUUUGUAGCCGGCACGCCGCUUGGUCAUCGCUCACAUCCCAGCAUCACUUAAGUUCGCUUGAGCUUAGUGUUGGUGUGUGUGACAAACUUUGUGCAGGUUCGGGGUUUCAGGCCAAGGAGUACGGAGGUUACGGCUCGUUUUUGGCUCGGCGUGACUUGGGUACAUGUUCUGUCCGCGUCUAAUAAAUGUUCGGUUUAGUUGAUGCUGGUGUACUUGGCCCUUGCCGUUAUUGUGGUGGGUACUAAGACCACCUCCAUUGGUGGGUUUAGCAAGGGUUCUUAAAAAAAUUCUAAAAAAAGUAAAUCAAAAAUGAAUAAAAAGCAGAGAACCGGUUAUAAGCAGAGACCUUUUAGAAUUGUUAAAAACUCCUACGUGGUGUUUUCGUAUUGGCUACUCAUAAAAGACAAAAGGCCCGGCUCUCUCUUCAUCCACCUCCAAAUACUUCGAUGAAAUCAUCGUUGCCGAAAAAGUAUCCUUGAAGUUGCCCAAUUUAAUCUUCCUUAUAAAUUGAUCAAACCCAACAACUCUACUUUCGUUCCCAGAAAUCUGCAAAAAAAAAAUGGAAAAAGCAAUCGAGAGACAAUGAGUUCUUCUUGAACAUCUCCGUCCUUCUUCCUCACACAGUUUCGAAGGCUCUCUCUCUGCUUCUGCUUGCUUGGCUUGGGACAGUGCUGCGUACCAGAGGACCUCUCUCUAUGGAGAUGAUGUUGUCAUUGUCGCGGCACAUAGGACUGCACUUUGCAAGUCCAAACGUGGCAACUUCAAGGAUACUUUUCCUGAUGAUCACUUUGCAAGUCCAAACGUGGCACCGUCAUCAGACCAAGAGAGUGAAAGACAUUUUUUGUCCACAUGUUGGAGAUCGACGAUGGGAUUUUGUAGCGAAAGUGUCAGGUUUGAAGGUGGAGGGAGAAACAUAAGACUAGGUUUGAAUAGAACAGGGAAGAGUUGCAGGUUAAGGUGGGUUAACUACUUACAUCCUGGUCUCAAACGUGGUAAGAUGACGAACCGAUAAUGAGAUAAAGAAGUACUGGAGGACUCAUAUGAGGAAGAAGACACAGGAAAAGAAGAAGAGACCUAUGUCUCCAGCUUCCUCGUCUUCAGACUGCUGCUCAUCAUCUAUGACCACUGCAGCUACUCAAAAACUAGUGUAUUGUGUGUCUCAAAAGUUUCCCAAAAUAUUGUGUUUCACUUGCCACAAAUCAUUUCACCAAAAUAUUGUGUCUCUUACAAUUGCAACAAACCAUUUCACCAAAAAAAAAAUUUAAGAAUCUCAAUGAGGUUCUCCCA